UCUUCACCUACAAUUUGUGGAUGUAGUAUAUGUACAGACAUGAAUUGGAAUGUCAUUUCAUCAACAAUUUAACAUCGCAAAAUAAACGUGAUAUAUUUAUUCACAAUUUGUGCACGUAGCACGGACCACGUCCACGUGCCUCGUGUCUCGUGCUACGAUUUAAUCGACAAUGUUAAAGAUAGACGUGGAUAGUUUUUUUUUUUUUAAACGGGACGUGGGGCGCUAUAGUGUCCGGGGGAGAUCGCUGGUCCCACCCAAAAAGCCGGCUGGCCGCUCUCACACUUCUCUCUGACGCAAUACAGUCGAAUUCGAGGUCGAAGAAGGUUGUGUAUUGGAAGCUGUCGCCACCGUCGUUGAGGACGCUGUCGACGUUGACGACUUGAGGAUCGGGGUAGUAAUCAUCUUCCCCGCAAGACUCGAUGGUGCUAAAAUGUGAGCGGUCACCUGACUACCUUGAGACACGAC
Molecule: long non-coding RNA, 465 nt
Organism: Wasmannia auropunctata (little fire ant)
Lineage: Eukaryota; Metazoa; Arthropoda; Insecta; Hymenoptera; Formicidae
Exons: 3
Source: RefSeq, a predicted model, not a curated record